RNAcentral lists this unclassified non-coding RNA (653 nucleotides) under Hevea brasiliensis (rubber tree). Lineage: Eukaryota; Viridiplantae; Streptophyta; Magnoliopsida; Malpighiales; Euphorbiaceae. The record is from RNAcentral.
GUGUUAAUCCCAACACUUGUCACCUGAAAAAGAAACAUCUGUAAGCCAUGAAGACAAGAUGAGACCAGUAAGGUUUCUUCCUAUGUUUUCCUUCUUUUCGUAAGCAGAGAUUUUAAUUUAAUGUACUUAGACUGAAAAAGUAGGUUCUAACUGUCUCCAAACAAGAAAAGUUGUAAUGCAACCCAAAUAGGGGAGAGCACCACCUCUAAUAGUUUUAGGAAAAUCACAAAAUAAAUCACAGAAACAGGCAGUGGCACCAUAAGUAUGAUUGAAUAGACAUGGGAACAGACCCAACUAACAAACUGAACCUUGUAUAAAAAUAUAUGAACUGGAAAUUUCAUGCUGAAGCAGUUUAAUAUAUCAGUGCAGAAUUGCAGAUUGUUACCAGGCCAAGCACUGUAACAUUUAUAGCUAUAACAAAAUCUUAUGAAGACAUAACAGGUAUAGAAACACUAUACAUUAAGCUGAUAAAUACUAAAAAGAGAAAUAUACAUGUUUGAGAAUAAAAAUAUCAUCCAUAAAGAAAACACUAAAUUUUGGUGAUGAAGCACUUAUAAAUCCAUUGGCCCACGAUAAACCUCCAAAAUUCAGAAAUUUCAUUUUUUUCCCCAAGUUCUCUCCUUUAGGAAUGUUGGAAUAUCACCUGUGGGAAC